GACGAACGCUGGCGGCGUGCCUAAUACAUGCAAGUAGAACGCACAGUUUAUACCGUAGCUUGCUACACCAUAGACUGUGAGUUGCGAACGGGUGAGUAACGCGUAGGUAACCUGCCUGGUAGCGGGGGAUAACUAUUGGAAACGAUAGCUAAUACCGCAUAAUAUUAAUUAUUGCAUGAUAAUUAAUUGAAAGGUGCAAUUGCACCACUACCAGAUGGACCUGCGUUGUAUUAGCUAGUAGGUGAGGUAACGGCUCACCUAGGCGACGAUACAUAGCCGACCUGAGAGGGUGGUCGGCCACCCUGGGACUGGGACACGGCCCAGACUUCUACGGGGGGCAGCAGUAGGGAAUCUUCGGCCAUGGACGAAAGUCUGACCGAGCAACGCCGCGUGAGUGAAGAAGGUUUUCGGAUCGUAAAGCUCUGUUGUAAGAGAAGAACGGGUGUGAGAGUGGAAAGUUCACACUGUGACGGUAUCUUACCAGAAAGGGACGGCUAACUACGUG
This 505-nucleotide ribosomal RNA is filed under the name uncultured bacterium. Its description in RNAcentral is "partial 16S ribosomal RNA". It matches the Rfam family "Bacterial small subunit ribosomal RNA", at positions 28 to 507 of the family's 1533-position model. The record is from RNAcentral.